Nycticebus coucang (slow loris) is the source of this 210-nucleotide long non-coding RNA. RefSeq lists it as uncharacterized. The record is from RefSeq and is a predicted model, not a curated record. Lineage: Eukaryota; Metazoa; Chordata; Mammalia; Primates; Lorisidae. The transcript has a single exon.
GGCACCUGCUGCUCCGUCAUGAUUCAGCCGCUUUCCGUGCCGCGCUAACACCACAGGAUGCUGCUGCCCCUGCCGCCGCCGCCGGUCCUGCUUCUGCUUCUGCUGCUCCCGCAUGACGCUUGUUUCCUCCAUCUGAGCAGACACCGGCUUCAGAGGCUGGAGGUGGGAACCAUGCCUUUCAGUUUGGGCUACUGGUUUACUUAAUAAGCC